RNAcentral lists this long non-coding RNA (6159 nucleotides) under Homo sapiens (human). RNAcentral's name for it is "PREDICTED lncRNA (TCONS_00257643)". The record is from RNAcentral. Lineage: Eukaryota; Metazoa; Chordata; Mammalia; Primates; Hominidae.
AGACAUUAAUCUUAAGUAUCCAGGGAGCCCUAAAACAUUGUAUCCCACUAGCAAGGACCAUGGUAAUUGCCACGUAAAUCCCCUCCAUUAUGUGGCCCUUAUUAUGACCAGCCAGCCAAGGCUUGCCUUUAAAUCAUACCAAUUGAACCGAGCCUUGUAGAAACACUAUCACCUACGCAUACCUCUGCUUCUUUUCAUUAACCUGCUAUCCUCUUUACAAAUGGGAUUCUUCACCCACUCCCUUCUUCUAGAUUAGCAAUGCCCUGUUAAGUAAACGAACACGAAAUUCAAAGGGAAACAGGAGCAAUCAUCAUUACCAGCUGCCGUGUUAAGCAUUGCGAAAACGCUCACGAUUCACAGAAAAAUCCAUGCUGUUCUUUGAAGGCAUUCAAGCCUUAAUAGCUAGCUGGAUGAAUGUUUAACUUCUAGGCCAGGCACUACUCUGUCCCAACAAUAAGCCCUGUACAUUGGGAAAGGUGCCGAGACAUGAACUUUGGUCUUCUCUGCAAUCCAUCUGGAGCAUUCACUGACAACAUCGACUUUGAAGUUGCACUGACCUGGCCAGCCCUGCCACUUACCAGGUUGGCUCUGUAUGGCUAAGCGUUUUCUCCUAAAAUCCCUUGAAAACUGUGAGAAGACCAUAAGAAGAUCAUAUCUUUAAUUCUAUUUCACAAGUCACACAAUAUUCCAAUCAAAUACAGAUGGUUGAGAAAAGUCAUCCAUCUUCCCUCCCCACCCUCCCACAGCCCCUCAACCACUGCCCUGAAACUUAUAUGCUGUUAUCCGCAGCUCCAUCUGGAGCAUCACAGCUACUGUCAACCCUGACGCUCUUUCUGAAAAAACACCGGAUGGACAUCAGAACUAUUUCUUUAAGGAUGUUACUGAGCCACACAGGAAAACUUGCCUUAUGAUUUUGAAUGCACGGAUCUGAUUUGACUAAACAUGAUAACUAGAGAAUCACCCAAUCUACUCCCAUUUUCAACUCUAAAUCAUCAGAGUGUCUCAAAUCCAAAGCACACACAGACCAGCCUGGCCAACACGGUGAAACUCCACCCCUACUAAAAGUAUAAAAAUUAUCCAGGUGUGGUGGCGGGCGCCUGUAAUCCAAGCUACUUGGGAGUCUGGAGGCAGGAGAAUCCCUUGAACCUGGGAGAUGGAGGUUGCAGUGAGCAGAGAUCACACCACCGCACUCUAGCCUGGGCCACAAAUCAACAACAACAACAACAACAAAAAACAAAGCGCACACAGAGACUGAGGUCCUCUUUGGCAUUGAGAAGAUGGCUAUGCAAGUCCCAACUAGCAAGUGCAAACUUCCCAGCUUCACUUCUGCCAGUGUCCCUUCACCCCUUCUCAACCCCACUGGGAGGCAGGAGGGUGCUUGACAAUAACAGCCUUGGCAUCACUCUGCCAGGGUGUAAUAGGAACUGUUACAAUUCUGAGAUUCUGUAAGUGCUUUGAGAUUUUGGAGUCAGACUGCUUGAACUUGAAUCCUGGCCCUCUCAUCAGAGACUUGACUUAUUUUAGGCAAGUUAUAUAACCAAUUUUACCUCAGUUCCUUACCCAUAAAAUGGGUCUAAUGAGAGUACCUACCACACAGAAUUUUGAUGAAAACUGAAUGAGAUGAAGGCCUUUAAGGCAGUGGUCCCCAACCCUGGGGACACAGACAGGUACCAUUUUGUGGCCUGUUAGGAACUGGGCCACACAGCAGGAGGUGAGCAGUGGGUGAGUGAGAUCAGCGUUAUUUACAGCUGCUCCCCAUUGCUCACCUUACUGCCUGAGCUCCACCUCCUGUCAGAUCAGCAGUGGCAUUAAAUUCUCAUAGCAGCACAAACCCUGUCAUGAACUGCACAUGCGAGGGAUCUAGGUUGUGCGCUCCUUAUGAGAAUCUAAUGCCUAAUGACCUGUCACCGUCUCCCAUCACCCCUAGAUGGGAGUGUCUAGUUGCAGGAAACAAGCUCAGGGCUUCCACUGAUUCUACAUUAUGGUGAGUUGUAUAAUUAUUUCAUUAUAUAAUACAAUGUAAUAAUAAUAGAAACACAGUGCACAACAAAUGUAAUGUGCUUGAAUCAUCCCCAAACCAUCCCAGUCCACGGUCUUCCACAUUUUGUCUUUUCACAAAAUUGUCUUCCACAAAACUGGUCCCUGGUGCCAAAAAGGCUUGGGACCACUGCUUUAAAGCCUUUGCAUAGUGCUUAGAAUUGAGGGGGAAAAAAAAAACAAAAACAAUGUAGCUAGUUGCUACAAUCACUAUAUUGGUGAGUUUCAAAAGGAAAAGAAUUCUGUCCCAUUUAUGCUUGAGCCUUGAGUUGCUAACCAAGCCUGACACAAAAUUACUGUUGAAGGGAUGUGUGAGUCCUAAUUGAAAUGAGGCCUCUUAAGGGAAUUGUGGACCAAACCCCAAGCAGGCAGAAAGCCGUAUCUUAAUUAUUGCAAGUAUUUCAGGCAAGGUGUGGAUGGCCAUUUGAAUUCAAGCAGACUAGGACCUGGGAUGAGAAAGAAGGUGUGUACGUGACUUGAUCUUUGAACUUUAGCUCACCAUCUGGAAGAAGGCUGAGUAUUCUCUGCACUCACAUAGUAGCUAAUGCCUACUCCCCAGCCACCCACAAUUCUUUCUGUAGGAAGGCUCGCUAGAAUACUUUGUGAUAUUGGAUAUUAGUUCCAUAUUCUACUGUGUAUCUUAGUUCAACCAAAUUGUAAUCAUCUGAUAUUUAUUUCUUUUAAUAUAAAUAUAAGUAUAUUAAGUCUUGGCAUGCUUGCUCAGUCUCUCUCUCUCUCCCAUUCCUCCCCGCUCCCCUCUCUCUUUCCCAACAGGCUUGGAAAGCAGGCAUCACCAUGCCUAUUUAACAGUUGGGGUCCCUUGGCCACCAGGUGCUGGAGUAGGAAUCUGAGCCCGGACAUGCCUGAUCUGUAAAUUUUGUGUUUUCCCCACUGUGCUGGGCAGAUCACAGCUAUCAGCGCCAAAUUCAUAGAAGGGGCGCCCCCUGUGGUCAAUUGAGGGAUUUGUGUUUGAGGUAGAUCUCAAGAAGGAAUGGGUGGGGAACUUAGCCUAGGACAGAGCAGAAAGGAGCCCUCACUCCCCAAGCACCAACGGCCUCAGUCCUUCCUGCUGACUCCAGCCUCUAGCUCUCACCCAGACUAUCUGCAUCCUUCUCUCCACCACGCUCCUUUGGAACCUGCGUAAAACACAGAUUAAAGGAAUUCCGCCUUACUUCCCUUUCCGCAUUAUGACCAAAUGGUUUUACACUAUCAUUGAACAGUUUAGUACAAAACAUGCCACCUUUUAAUCUAUUCAUUCAUUUAACAAAUACUUUGGAGUGUUUACCAUGUGCCAAGUGCUGUUCUAAUAGACAUAAGCUGUGAGGUUAUGCUUAUCUGAUUCUCACAGCAACAGCUUUCGAGAUAUGAAUUGGUAUACUCAUUUGACAGAUGAGGAAAUUGAAUUCAUGUAGUGAGAAAGGAAGAGCUGCAAUUCAGGGUUACUGGUUUCUCCUGCACUAAGCACUGAGCCACACUAGAAGAGAAGGCAUGAGGAAGACAAAAGUGAGAAGGCACUCAGGAAAUAUUAGUUGCAUGAACGAAGGCUGCAUUUUCAUUAGAACAACAUGCAGUUCAACCCCUUCAUGUUUCAAUGAGGGUUCAGAUACCCAGAGGGCUAUGCUAUCAUCCUGGAGCCCACUCUGCUAACAAUUAGCAGAACGGAAGCCUUAAUUUCCAGAUUCUAGUGAACUUGAUGAGUCAAGACUAUUGCAAUUGGAAAUCUGUUCUCCUCUGCUGCUGCAUUCCCUGCUUAAUACUCAAGCCAGAAACCAGGAAGGCUGUGGCUUGCCUUUUCACUUCUUGUGUCCUGUUUAAGAAAUAUCUGCUAUCCCAAGCAUCUGGCAUCUUUCUUGACAUAUGUAGCAGUUGCUUUUUGACAGCUUGCUUCUUCAGUGAAUGAAUAAAUUAAUAAAGAGAAAUGUGAUGUUCAGUGAUCCAUUUUGCAGAUAACACUAACAAAGUUGACCUUAGAAUUGGAGUGCCUGGGUUAGAACCCUGCUGGUACCACCUGCUUACUGCAUGCUUCUGAUGUGAGUUCAGGAGAAGACACUGGCAAGGACAGCAAAGAACAGGAGAACACUCUAGCUUCCCUGAUAGCAUUCAAGGUGCUGUCCAAACUGACUGUGAUGGCACCCUCCAGACAGACAGCGAUGCCACAUGUUCAAGAUGGCAGAAUCACUAUCAGCUUCAAUUCCUGAAUGACUGCAGAGCAAAAUUUCUUACCUGCAACAUACACUCUAUUUUCAGCCUCCCUGGACUGUUACAUAAUGAUACAUAAAAAUAUUUCUUGUGUUGAGGCAUCCCAAAUUUGAUUUAUUUGUCAUCACAGUCUAUCCUAUGAAUAUAUUUCUGAUCCAAAUAAUGCUAGAUUCAUGAGAGUUUAUAGUCCAGAGAUUUUUUUUUUUUUUUUGAGACAGAAUCUGUCUCCCAGGCUGGGGUGCAGUGGCAUAAUCUUAGCUCACUGCAACCUCUGCCUCCCGGGCUCAAGUGAUCCUCCCUCCUUAGCCUCCAUGAGUAGCUGGGACCACAGGUGUGCACCACCACACCCCGCUAAUUAUUUUGUAUUUUUUGCAGAGGGGGGUUUCACCACAUUGCCCAAGCUGGUCUCAAACUCCUAGACUUAAGGGAUCUGCCUGCCUUGGCCUCCCAAAAUGCUGAAAUUACACUUGUUAGCCAUAGUAAUAGUUCCUAGCCAUAGUCCGGAGAUAUUUUAAAAACUUUAGUGUGAGUUAUUUCUCUUUGCUAUAAUUCUCUCAUGCAUUUUGAAAACCUUUUCUGCCAUACAGUGGUUUUUGGGAAGUCCUUUUGGACAGACAUAUCACAGGAUGGAGAAACUAAAAAGAGAGAAUGCAUUAAAGAAAAAAUAGUACUUCGUAUUUCAGAAAUUACAAAAGGGUGUCAUGCCCCACAGCAUGGUGGGCAGUCAUUUGUAACCCACAGAACAUUGAGUUUCUAAAAUUUGAGUGUUUUUAACUUACGAAGGCCAACUUUACUGAUGAAGUGAUUACCCCAAAUAUGUGAAAUCCAUAUUUCAAGUACAAUAGUAGGAAAUUGGAAAUGGGCUCUUGAGUUUCUGCUUUCAAGUGACCCUCAGAAAUUCCUCCAUUCACUGCAGAGGUUCUGUUUCUCCUUGCUUUGUUCUGACUUUACGGCAGAACUAAGCUAAUGAGUUAGUUACUAUGGGUUAUCACUUGGAUUUGAAGAACCAUCAUUUCUAGGCAUUGCUGCUCAGAGUGACCUUGCCAUCGUAUCCCCUUUUGGAGACACAAGCCAGGAAGGAAGCUCUUCAGUGCAGCUGUGAAUAGAGAAAUGCUGGCUGAGGUUUUGGAGACACUGGGUGAUCAUUCCCAGUGAAAUUUUUAGAUCCCUGGGGACAUGAGCUGCUUUGUCUUUUCCAAGGCUGAAAAAGUUUUGGAAGCCCUCCUAAGCAGGUGCCAGACCCUUUUUUGGCCAGAGACAGGAUCUUACGCUGUUGCCCAGGCUGGAGUGCAAUAGUGUCAUCAUGGCUCACUGUAGCCUGGAACUGCUGGGCUCAAGGGAUCCUCCCAGCUCAGCCUCCCAAGUAGCUAGGAGUAAAGUUGGAGGAACUGGUUAUUUUCCCAGGGCUUUGACUGAAAUGGCCUUGUGAAUGGUUCCAGGAAAGCCAAUUUUGGAGACCCUAUGUGGAUGAUGAUGCUUGCUGUACUUUCUGUGGGUAAUCGGGCCAAGUAUAUGGGACUGAAGCUAAUUUUGCAGGUGAGAAAAUGGAGGUCCAGAGAGAAAAGUGACUCACCCAAGCUGAAAACAGUUGCAGGAAGAAAAGCCAGGACAGAACUGGGCUGUUAGAAACCUUGGAGUACACUAAAGAUGAGGAACUGAGUCACCGCAAUGCCAAAUGUAACACGCUGUGGGUCAAAAUUUGGAUGGUUGCGUUGGAAAUUAUUCUGAAGCCACAGACAGGGCUAAAAGGAUGAUUCACAAAGUGUUCAUAGCAGGGAAGCUGAUGGAAAAGUGACAUGCCCCUAGACUUGAGAGAUGCUCUCUAAGUUUAAAAAGGAAACAGCUUAUUGUAAAAUUUAUUUGAAUCCUACAACCUUCCCAUAUCUGUGUAAUUAGCAAAAAGACAAGCUGCAACCAGAGAGG